CCUCCCCCCCCACUCCAACCCCCAGGGCUGCGGGCGGCUCCCGGGUUUCGCUGGAGCACACGCAUUUGCGCAGAAUGUGGUUCCCAGGCUCUCGGUCAAGAACUGAGAUGGGAAAAGUUGGCUGGCGGCUCCCGCUGCCCGGCCCCCCUCGAGCCCGGCCCGUCCGCGUCCGGAAAGCGCGGCGCUCGCAGAAGGGCGAGGGGGCUGCGCUCUCCGCUUUUCUUCUCACUUUCACCGUGAUCGUACCCUUGACGUUGAGCACCCGUUAAUGCGCAGCGGGACUUACUGUUUUAGAGGAGAAAACGAGGGCGGAAAGGGGGACUGAGAGGGAGAGAGGCGAGGGGGAGGCGAGAGAACAGGGGUGCGAGUUGGCGCGGGCGGCCUGGGGAUGGAGGAGCCUUUGGGCUGAAUUGCCUGUUUGAUCUCGUCCGCGCUGCGCAGGGGUAGGCCGCUGGAAAGACUGGGUGGCCUGGACAACAGGGUCCGAGGGGAAGAAGGUGUAUUUCUGUUGCUGGACAUGAUGGCCACACAAUCUUGCUUCCCACUUUCCUGUCUACAGGCUCAGUAGAUCCAGAUCGUGUGAGUCUCUUUUAUUCCCGUUUUGCACGUGAGGCCACGGAGGCCGGGAUAGACCAGGAUCGCACACGUCUUGGGGGCCUACUCCGGACUCAAACCUACGUCUCUGUGACUCCAAAACUCAUAUUAUACUAUGACCUAGUAUUUGCUGGUGUAAGACGAAUGGUUCCGUUUUAGCGCAGAUGCAAGCGCCACCUUAUUUGGAGGACAGGCAGGUAGAUCUGCAGCUCACAAAGAUGGUAGAAAGUUGAAGAUGAAAGGGAUAUGAAAGGCUGUCUCCUUCUACCUCCUCAUUCCACAGCUGUAAAACCCGAGGCCCCGAGGCGGGCUUGCACAGCUCCCCUGGCUCUCCGUCCACGUCCACGUCUCUGCUGUCCACUGCUCCUAGAGCACCUUUCGACUCUUGAAAACAGGAACUGCCAGUUAAAAAGAAUACUACCUAUUUUAUUGAGCCUGAAGGGUUGAGGACAUCACAGACCAGAGACUUUGACCAGCCAGAAAAAGAGAGAUGACAGCAACUGAGAUGAAAGGGUCCUGAAAUCACAUCACAUCCCUGCGCCCAACUCUGCGGAGCGAGACCCUGUCAAGGCUCCGGGUCUCCUGGCGACCUCUCAAACCUCAUUUCCCACCCGCGCCCCCUGACUGUCUGCCCUCCAGCGUCCCCGACCUCCUUGUCCUCCGCAGACAUCAAGGAUGUGUCAUUGCAGGGCCUUGGCUCCCCUCCCCCCAUUUCAAAUGGCUCAUCCCUCAGUCCAGUCGGGUCUCGGCUCAGAUGUCACCUCCUCAUCGGGGCUCCCUUGCCUCCUGACCCAGAGCAGCAUGCCCCUGUCCGAGUCUCUGAGCUUGCCUUUCCUUCAGUGUUUUUAUUAUUCUAUGACCCGACAUUCUCCAUUCACGUGUAACUGUUUAUUCUCUGUCUUCUGAAAUAGAGGACAAGGCCCGGAGGGAUGGGACUUUGUCUGCUGCCCUCUCACAUCCCGACUGGUACACCUCAGUGAACAAUUUGUAAUGGACACAGUGAAUACAGCAAGGCCCUACUGCAAACCCGAGGACGCAAAGCCUCUGAGAACCUCUCAGACACGGAAGGGGCCACGAGGCUUUUCCCACGUGGCCAGGCUGGAGCAAUGAGUGGGUGCCGGGGAGAGAGCUUCAGGAAUCUCAGGCUCUGGGUAAAGAACUCUUUCCCGGGAUUCCCGCUGUGGCACGACAGGUCUGUGGCAUCUCUGGAGCAGGGUUGAUCCCUGGCCUGACACAGUGGGUUAAGGAUUCCUCAUUGCCGCAGCUGUGGUAUAGGUUGCAACUGGGAUCUGAUCCCUGGCCCAGGAACUCCGUAUGUUGCAGGGCAGCAAAAAUAAAUAAAUAAAUAAAUACACGAAAAGGAACUUUCCCAAGAGUUGGAACGGGUGGGGCUCUGUGCCUGUUUCCUGGGGGCUGAGGAGGCCACCUGGCAGGGAUAUUGUUCGGAAGUUGAAUUUGCCCGUAUCAAAGACUUUUCUUCCAUUUCAAAGUUUUGUGAGAUGGUCACAGGUCAGCCCACCUCUGUCUCGUGAAAACCAUUCUGAGUUUAGUCUUCUGGAAUAGUUUUCAUAUGUGAACACAUCUCCAGUGUCUUGCCUGUGAUCAUGGGGCUCGAUUUGUAGAAACGAUGCCUGUUUUCUGAAACAUGGAAGGGAAUAUAUUUGAUUCAGAGGAGAAAGCUUUGAUUUCAUGGGAAAUGUGUGUCCUUUCCGAGAACCUCCUAAGAAUGAGCCCAGUGUCCUUCGUGUUUCUCCUUCCCCUGUCCGAGGUGCUUACCACCCUUAUAAAUAAUCAGAAAUGUUGCUUCCGGAGGCUCUUUCUAGAUAAGACAUGGUGUCUCUCCCAAGGAGAAUGAUGUUAGCACUCAACGGCUGAGAAAGGAAGUGAAUUAUCCCUUUGAAACUACCAGGGCACUUGAGGUGGUCAGGAAUUAUCCUGGUAUAGACAGACAGACAGACAAAAGGUAAACAAGACUCUGGUAUGUUUUUUGUUUUGGGGUUUUUUUUUU
This is a non-coding RNA of Sus scrofa (pig), 2602 nucleotides long. The record is from RefSeq and is a predicted model, not a curated record. NCBI's taxonomy places the organism in Eukaryota, Metazoa, Chordata, Mammalia, Artiodactyla, Suidae.